CACCGCCCGUCACACUAUGAGAGCUGGUCAUGCCCGAAGUCGUUACCUUAACCGCAAGGAGGGGGAUGCCGGAGGCACGACUAGUGACUGGAGUGUAGUCGUAACAAGGUAGACGUACUGGAAGGUACGGCUG
Nicotiana sylvestris (wood tobacco) is the source of this 133-nucleotide non-coding RNA. The record is from Rfam. NCBI's taxonomy places the organism in Eukaryota, Viridiplantae, Streptophyta, Magnoliopsida, Solanales, Solanaceae.